AGUCACAAGUCUGAGGCCAUAGCAGAAGCAUUCAUGGCAUGGCCUGUCAGAGUCCAAUGGAUCUGUGAAUUCUGCU
This 76-nucleotide ribozyme is filed under the name Crocodylus porosus (Australian saltwater crocodile). RNAcentral describes it as "Mammalian CPEB3 ribozyme (ENSCPRG00005006600.1)". It matches the Rfam family "Mammalian CPEB3 ribozyme". Rfam says of the family: The mammalian CPEB3 ribozyme is a self cleaving RNA located in the second intron of the CPEB3 gene which belongs to a family of genes regulating messenger RNA polyadenylation. The record is from Rfam by way of RNAcentral. Lineage: Eukaryota; Metazoa; Chordata; Crocodylia; Crocodylidae.